CGGGUGCGUAACACGUGAGCGACCUUCCGUCUUCUGGGGGAUAGCCGGCCCAACGGCCGGGUAAUACCGCAUACGCUCUGUUGGGGGCAUCCCUGACAGAGGAAACUUCCGGGGGAGGACGAGGGGCUCGCGGCCUAUCAGCUAGUUGGUGCGGUCACGGCGCACCAAGGCGACGACGGGUAGCUGGUCUGAGAGGAUGGCCAGCCACAUUGGGACUGAGAGACGGCCCAG
This 231-nucleotide ribosomal RNA is filed under the name uncultured bacterium. Its description in RNAcentral is "partial 16S ribosomal RNA". It matches the Rfam family "Bacterial small subunit ribosomal RNA", at positions 103 to 334 of the family's 1533-position model. The record is from RNAcentral.